GACGAACGCUGGCGGCGUGCUUAACACAUGCAAGUCGAACGGAAAGGCCCUGCUUUUGUGGGGUGCUCGAGUGGCGAACGGGUGAGUAACACGUGAGUAACCUGCCCUUGACUUUGGGAUAACUUCAGGAAACUGGGGCUAAUACCGGAUAGGAGCUCCUGCUGCAUGGUGGGGGUUGGAAAGUUUCGGCGGUUGGGGAUGGACUCGCGGCUUAUCAGCUUGUUGGUGGGGUAGUGGCUUACCAAGGCUUUGACGGGUAGCCGGCCUGAGAGGGUGACCGGCCACAUGGGGACUGAGAUACGGCCCAGACUCCUACGGGAGGCAGCAGUGGGGAAUAUUGCACAAUGGGCGGAAGCCUGAUGCAGCAACGCCGCGUGCGGGAUGACGGCCUUCGGGUUGUAAACCGCUUUCGCCUGUGACGAAGCGUGAGUGACGGUAAUGGGUGAAGAAGCACCGGCUAACUACGUG
Molecule: ribosomal RNA, 468 nt
Filed under: uncultured bacterium
Lineage: Bacteria
Description: partial 16S ribosomal RNA
Rfam family: Bacterial small subunit ribosomal RNA
Source: RNAcentral